UACAUGAAGCUGGAAUCGCUAGUAAUCGUAGAUCAGCAUGCUACGGUGAAUACGUUCCCGGGUCUUGUACACACCGCCCGUCACACCACGAGAGUUUGUAACACCCGAAGCCGGUGGAGUAACCUUUUAGGAGCUAGCCGUCGAAGGUGGGACAAAUGAUUGGGGUGAAGUCGUAACAAGGUAGCCGUAUCGGAAGGUGCGGCUGGAUCACCUCCUUU
RNAcentral lists this ribosomal RNA (218 nucleotides) under Staphylococcus aureus. Its description in RNAcentral is "partial 16S ribosomal RNA". It matches the Rfam family "Bacterial small subunit ribosomal RNA", at positions 1317 to 1533 of the family's 1533-position model. The record is from RNAcentral. Lineage: Bacteria; Bacillati; Bacillota; Bacilli; Caryophanales; Staphylococcaceae.